UUAAGUUCAGCGGGUAUCCCUACCUGAUCCGAGGUCAAGCGUAAAAUGGUAGACUUGUGGAUGCCACCGUCAGCAGCGGAGAGCGCAAAAUGUGCUGCGCUCCCACACGGGACGGCGGGCUGCCAAUGCAUUUGAGGCGAGUUCACGCGUGCAGCGGAACAAAACGCCCAACACCCAGCAGGGCUGGAGGGUACAAAUGA
Molecule: unclassified non-coding RNA, 200 nt
Filed under: Pleosporales sp.
Lineage: Eukaryota; Fungi; Ascomycota; Dothideomycetes; Pleosporales
Description: partial internal transcribed spacer 2
Source: RNAcentral